UUUAUAAACUGAAACAUUACCUUUAGUUUUUGAUAUUCUUCAUAGUCGAGUUUAAAUUGGCCUAAUUUAUAGUUAGUUACCACUAGAAAUGCGACGAUAUUUUGUUAAAUCAUAUAUGCCACAGUGUUUACAACUUUUGAAUAAUAUGUGAUUUGGUUUUGUUUCAGAUCCUGUUACAUGUUGCUUCAUUUUACCAUAAAUUGUGUUAAAAAAGUGAUUUGCUCAUUUGGCUGAUGUUACAGUUUUCUGAUGUGUUUUGUUUGGAUGAUAUUAGAACAAUUUCAAUAUGAAAGUGCAGGUGUCUUUUAGACAUGAGCCAUAAUGUAUAUAUCAAAAUACUGAUAAAAUCCGUUUCCAGCUUGAUUGUAUUUGCAUUUGUUGUAUUUGCAUUGUUGCAGACAAAGUUGUGCAAUGGUGGGCUUAUGUCACAUACUCGUAUGUAAUUCCAUGUGCCUGCAUGUACAGCACUUUGAUGCCUCAAGAGAUGCUUCGAAUGUGUAAUAAAGGGCUGUUCGCAGGAGUUGGGCUGCCUGGCCUUAAAUUGCAUUGUUUUUAUGAUAUUUUAAGAUUGUAUUCGUAUGGCUGGACCAUCUUGCCAUUGCCACAAUGUCUGAUGUUCAAACAGGCUUUAAAAUCAGGUUACAAUGCAUGCUUGAAAAUAUGCAACAAUUUCACUGCUAAUAAUAUUCCAGAAAAUCCUGCCUCUUGGGCAGAUCUGGACUGAUUUGUCAGAGGGUGUUGGAGGUUUUUUACUUGUGAUCGGGCAAGGGGAGCUAGCCAAGGGUGCUGGGUCAGAGUCAAACUCAUGUGAACAGCUUCUAAGUCCUAAUUAUAUUGAUAAAUUAUGUACACUUUGGGAUGGUAAUGCAAUUUGUAAAAUAUUCC
Molecule: non-coding RNA, 885 nt
Organism: Paramuricea clavata
Lineage: Eukaryota; Metazoa; Cnidaria; Anthozoa; Malacalcyonacea; Plexauridae
Source: the annotation of a GenBank genome assembly